Molecule: ribosomal RNA, 460 nt
Filed under: uncultured bacterium
Lineage: Bacteria
Description: partial 16S ribosomal RNA
Rfam family: Bacterial small subunit ribosomal RNA
Source: RNAcentral
CCUACGGGGCGCAGCAGUGAGGAAUAUUGGUCAAUGGACGAGAGUCUGAACCAGCCAAGUAGCGUGAAGGAUGACUGCCCUAUGGGUUGUAAACUUCUUUUAUAUGGGAAUAAAAUGUUCCACGUGUGGGAUUUUGUAUGUACCAUAUGAAUAAGGAUCGGCUAACUCCGUGCCAGCAGCCGCGGUAAUACGGAGGAUCCGAGCGUUAUCCGGAUUUAUUGGGUUUAAAGGGAGCGUAGGUGGAUUGUUAAGUCAGUUGUGAAAGUUUGCGGCUCAACCGUAAAAUUGCAGUUGAAACUGGCAGUCUUGAGUACAGUAGAGGUGGGCGGAAUUCGUGGUGUAGCGGUGAAAUGCUUAGAUAUCACGAAGAACUCCGAUUGCGUAGGCAGUUCACUGGACUGCAACUGACACUGAGGCUCGAAAGUGUGGGUAUCAAACAGGAUUAGAUACCCCUGUAGUC